This 841-nucleotide ribosomal RNA is filed under the name Geopora sp. BS-2010. RNAcentral describes it as "eukaryotic LSU rRNA". The stretch from base 340 to 493 matches the Rfam family "5.8S ribosomal RNA". The record is from RNAcentral. Lineage: Eukaryota; Fungi; Ascomycota; Pezizomycetes; Pezizales; Pyronemataceae.
CCUGAGCUAGCCUGAAGGACCUUGCGCCCACGCAGCCGCAGCWMCAGUACGYACWCAGAUGGUUUAAWCUCAUCCAGACACAUGUUAUUCKWUAAUGAUCYCUCCGGAGGUGAACCUGCGGAAGGAYUAUUAAUCGAAUAACAUGUUUCUUGGCAUGAAUUUCAAAACCCAUCUGUGUACCUUACCUGUUGCUUCCGUGCUGCGUGGGCAGCAAAGUGCACUCUCCAAGGCCUACGCUCCCAGUGAGGAGGUGACCUUGGAGUGUCGGCACGGAAGGUCUUACCGCAAACUCUUGCAUUUCCAUGUUUUCUGUCUGAACUGUCAUACAAAAUAAGUUAAAACUUUCAACAACGGAUCUCUUGGUUCUCGCAUCGAUGAAGAACGCAGCGAAAUGCGAUAAGUAGUGUGAAUUGCAGAAUUCCGUGAAUCAUCGAAUCUUUGAACGCACAUUGCGCCUCCUGGUAUUCCGGGAGGCAUGCCUGUUCGAGCGUCAUUAAAAUCAUAUCACGCAAUUUUGCAUGGUCAUGGAGGAAGAGUCCACUCGGUGUGGUCUCCCCGCCGAAAUGCAACGGCGGAAAGUCUCAGAUACUCUGCGCAGUAGUAACGUUCGCUUUGUAUCUGUAGUGGUUCCUGCCAGCAAAACCCCCACAAUUCUCUUGAUUGACCUCGGAUCAGGUAGGGAUACCCGUAMUWACAUAUCAAUAAGCGAAGGAGAGAUCAUUAAUGAAUAACAUGUUUCUGGCAUGAAUUCAAACCAUCUGUGUACCUUACUGUUGCUUCGUGCUGCGUGGGCGCAAGGGCCUCUCAGGCUCGCUCAGUGAGGAGGGUACCUGGAGGUUUU